Molecule: transfer RNA, 77 nt
Filed under: Azonexus fungiphilus
Lineage: Bacteria; Pseudomonadati; Pseudomonadota; Betaproteobacteria; Rhodocyclales; Azonexaceae
Also listed under: 3 other names
Description: tRNA-Arg
Rfam family: tRNA
About the family: Transfer RNA (tRNA) molecules are approximately 80 nucleotides in length. Their secondary structure includes four short double-helical elements and three loops (D, anti-codon, and T loops).
Source: RNAcentral
GCGCCCGUAGCUCAACUGGAUAGAGCAGCCGCCUUCUAAGCGGCAGGUCGGGGGUUCGAGUCCCUCCGGGCGCGCCA